Molecule: ribosomal RNA, 398 nt
Filed under: uncultured bacterium
Lineage: Bacteria
Description: partial 16S ribosomal RNA
Rfam family: Bacterial small subunit ribosomal RNA
Source: RNAcentral
AUACGUAGGGUGCGAGCGUUGUCCGGAAUUACUGGGCGUAAAGAGCUCGUAGGUGGUUUGUCGCGUCGUCUGUGAAAUUCCGGGGCUUAACUCCGGGCGUGCAGGCGAUACGGGCAUAACUUGAGUACUGUAGGGGAGACUGGAAUUCCUGGUGUAGCGGUGAAAUGGGGAGAUAUCAGGAGGAACACCGGUGGCGAAGGCGGGUCUCUGGGCAGUAACUGACUCUGAGGAGCGAAAGCAGGGGUAGCAAAUCGGCUUAGAUUCCCUGCUCGUCGCUGCUGUGAACGGUGGACGCUAGGUGUAGUGGUCUUUAUCAAAUGCUGUCCCGGAGCUAUCGUAUUAAGAGUCACGCCUGGGAAGUACGGCUGCAAGGAUAAUACUCAAAUGAAUUUACGCGG